This 253-nucleotide ribosomal RNA is filed under the name uncultured bacterium. Its description in RNAcentral is "partial 16S ribosomal RNA". It matches the Rfam family "Bacterial small subunit ribosomal RNA", at positions 524 to 776 of the family's 1533-position model. The record is from RNAcentral.
UACGAAGGGGGCUAGCGUUGCUCGGAAUCACUGGGCGUAAAGGGUGCGUAGGCGGGUUUUUAAGUCAGAGGUGAAAUCCUGGAGCUCAACUCCAGAACUGCCUUUGAUACUGAGAAUCUUGAGUACGGGAGAGGUGAGUGGAACUGCGAGUGUAGAGGUGAAAUUCGUAGAUAUUCGCAAGAACACCAGUGGCGAAGGCGGCUCACUGGCCCGGUACUGACGCUGAGGAGCGAAAGCCAGGGGAGCAAACGGG